UACGUAGGUGGCGAGCGUUGUCCGGAUUUACUGGGCGUAAAGAGCGCGCAGGCGGUCGUACAAGUCGCGUGUGAAAGCCCCCGGCUCAACUGGGGAGGGUCACGCGAUACUGUUCGACUCGAAGGCAGGAGAGGGUAGUGGAAUUCCCGGUGUAGUGGUGAAAUGCGUAGAUAUCGGGAGGAACACCAGUGGCGAAGGCGGCUUUCUGGACGACAACUGACGCUGAGACGCGAAAGCGUGGGGAGCAAACAGG
This 253-nucleotide ribosomal RNA is filed under the name uncultured bacterium. RNAcentral's name for it is "partial 16S ribosomal RNA". It matches the Rfam family "Bacterial small subunit ribosomal RNA", at positions 524 to 776 of the family's 1533-position model. The record is from RNAcentral.